This is a non-coding RNA of Eptesicus fuscus (big brown bat), 79 nucleotides long. Lineage: Eukaryota; Metazoa; Chordata; Mammalia; Chiroptera; Vespertilionidae. The record is from RefSeq and is marked provisional.
GACAUCAUCGCGCCAACCCCAUCAUAUACAUCCUGUACAAAUACAGGUGUAUGUGACGGGGUUGGCGCCAUAAUGUACU